AUGAAGUCCACCUCCUCCGGCACCGGCGCGGCCCCCUCCUCCCAGCCGGCCUCCUCGCGGGCCAAGAAGAUGGACCGCGUCGAGUCCAGCCUCAAGGACGCCUCGCGGGAGCUCUCCCUCGCCAAGCUCAAGUCCGGCGCCGUCGUCGCCGCCGUGCUCUUCGUCGUCUUCGGCCUCCUCAACUCGCUCUUCGAGGGCCGCGCCGUCGCCAAGCUGCCCUUCGCGCCCGUCCCGCUCGUGCAGCGCAUGAGCCACCGCGGCCUCCCCGGGAACGACCCCACCGACUGCGCCAUGGUCUUCCUCUACUUCCUCUGCUCCAUGAGCAUACGGACCAACCUCCAGAAGCUGCUCGGCUUCACGCCGCCCCGCGCCGCCGCCGGGGCCGGCGGCGGCCUCUUCGCCAUGCCCGAUCCCAAAACCAAUUGA
Molecule: ribosomal RNA, 426 nt
Filed under: Triticum aestivum (bread wheat)
Lineage: Eukaryota; Viridiplantae; Streptophyta; Magnoliopsida; Poales; Poaceae
Description: partial small subunit ribosomal RNA
Source: RNAcentral